UGUUACAAAGUUUCCAUCAGUCACAUGUCCAAUGUCCUUGACCUCAUUUUCAUGGUUCAGUGACUACUUGAAAAAAAAGUUAAGAUUUUUUUGUAAUGUUAAAUUCUCUCUUAUUAUAAGUAAUAGGAUAACUAUAUUUGGUAUGUGCGUACCUUGCAAGGUCCUCAUGCCCGUCAGACAGUUUUCACUUGACCUCGACCUCAUUUCAUGGAUCAGUGAACAAGGUUAAGUUUUGGUGGUCAAGUCCAUAUCUCAGAUACUAUAAGCAAUAGGUCUCGUAUAUUCGGUGUAUGGAAGGACUGUAAGGUGUACAUGUCCAACUGGCAGGUGUCAUCUGACCUUGACCUCAUUUUCAUGGUUCAGUGGUUAUAGUUAAGUUUUUGUGUUUUGGUCUGUUUUUCUUAUACUGUAUGCAAUAGGUCUACUAUAUUUGGUGUAUGGAAUGAUUGUAAGGUGUACAUGUCUAGCGGGCAGGUGUCAUCUAACCUUGACCUCAUUU
Mytilus californianus (California mussel) is the source of this 499-nucleotide long non-coding RNA. RefSeq lists it as uncharacterized. The transcript has 3 exons. NCBI's taxonomy places the organism in Eukaryota, Metazoa, Mollusca, Bivalvia, Mytilida, Mytilidae. The record is from RefSeq and is a predicted model, not a curated record.